GACGAACGCUGGCGGCGUGCUUAACACAUGCAAGUCGAACGGAAAGGCCCUGCUUUUGUGGGGUUCUCGAGUGGCGAACGGGUGAGUAACACGUGAGUAACCUGCCCUUGACUUUGGGAUAACUUCAGGAAACUGGGGCUAAUACCGGAUAGGAGCUCCUGCUGCAUGGUGGGGGUUGGAAAGUUCGGGCGGUUGGGGCUGGACUCGCGGGUUAUCAGCUGGUUGGUGGGGUAGUGGCUUACCAAGGCUUCGACGGGUAGCCGGCCUGAGUGGGGGGACGGCCACAUUGGGACUGAGAUACGGCCCAGACUCCAACGGUGGGCAGAAGGCGGGAAUAUUGCACAAUGGGCGGAAGCCUGAUGCAGCAACGCCGGGUGCGGGAUGACGGCCUACGGGUUGUAAACCGCUUUCGCCUGUGACGAAGCGUGAGUGACGGUAAUGGGUAAAGAAGCACCGGCUAACUACGUG
This 468-nucleotide ribosomal RNA is filed under the name uncultured bacterium. Its description in RNAcentral is "partial 16S ribosomal RNA". It matches the Rfam family "Bacterial small subunit ribosomal RNA", at positions 28 to 507 of the family's 1533-position model. The record is from RNAcentral.